RNAcentral lists this ribosomal RNA (259 nucleotides) under Streptomyces sp. barghi2. RNAcentral describes it as "partial 16S ribosomal RNA". It matches the Rfam family "Bacterial small subunit ribosomal RNA", at positions 117 to 377 of the family's 1533-position model. Lineage: Bacteria; Bacillati; Actinomycetota; Actinomycetes; Kitasatosporales; Streptomycetaceae. The record is from RNAcentral.
GUGGGCAAUCUGCCCUUCACUCUGGGACAAGCCCUGGAAACGGGGUCUAAUACCGGAUAACACUCUGUCCCGCAUGGGACGGGGUUAAAAGCUCCGGCGGUGAAGGAUGAGCCCGCGGCCUAUCAGCUUGUUGGUGGGGUAAUGGCCUACCAAGGCGACGACGGGUAGCCGGCCUGAGAGGGCGACCGGCCACACUGGGACUGAGACACGGCCCAGACUCCUACGGGAGGCAGCAGUGGGGAAUAUUGCACAAUGGGCG